This 459-nucleotide ribosomal RNA is filed under the name uncultured bacterium. RNAcentral describes it as "partial 16S ribosomal RNA". It matches the Rfam family "Bacterial small subunit ribosomal RNA", at positions 28 to 523 of the family's 1533-position model. The record is from RNAcentral.
GACGAACGCUGGCGGUGUGCUUAAUACAUGCAAGUCGAACGGCUCUUCGGAGCAGUGGCGGACGGCUGAGUAACGCGUAGGUAACGUGCCUCUUACUGGGGGAUAACAUCGGGAAACUGGUGCUAAUACCGCAUAAGUCACGAGUUGAAAUACUUGUGAUUAAAGAAUUUCGGUAAGAGAUCGGCCCGCGGCUGAUUAGCUGGUUGGUAGGGUAAUGGCCUACCAAGGCGGUGAUCAGUAGUUGGUCUGAGAGGAUGACCAGCCAGAGUGGGACUGAGAACGGCCCACACUUCUACGGAAGGCAGCAGUAGGGAAUUUUGCGCAAUGGGCGAAAGCCUGACGCAGCAACACCGCGUGCGGGAUGAAGGCCUUCGGGUCGUAAACCGCUGUCGGCAGGGAAUAAAUUGACUGUACCUGCAAAGGAAGCACCGGCUAACUACGUGCCAGCAGCCGCAGUAA